This 1126-nucleotide ribosomal RNA is filed under the name uncultured Synechococcus sp. RNAcentral describes it as "bacterial SSU rRNA". It matches the Rfam family "Bacterial small subunit ribosomal RNA", at positions 55 to 1229 of the family's 1533-position model. Lineage: Bacteria; Bacillati; Cyanobacteriota; Cyanophyceae; Synechococcales; Synechococcaceae. The record is from RNAcentral.
AUGCAAGUCGAACGAACCUUCGGGUUAGUGGCGGACGGGUGAGUAACGCGUGAGAAUCUGCCCUCAGGAGGGGGACAACAGCUGGAAACGGUUGCUAAUACCCCAUAUGCCGCGAGGUGAAAUGAAUUUCGCCUGAGGAUGAGCUCGCGUCUGAUUAGCUAGUUGGUGUAGGUAAUGGCUCACCAAGGCAUCGAUCAGUAGCUGGUCUGAGAGGAUGAUCAGCCACACUGGGACUGAGACACGGCCCAGACUCCUACGGGAGGCAGCAGGGGGGAAUUUUCCGCAAUGGGCGAAAGCCUGACGGAGCAACGCCGCGUGAGGGAUGAAGGCCUCUGGGCUGUAAACCUCUUUUAUCAAGGAAGAAGAUCUGACGGUACUUGAUGAAUAAGCCACGGCUAAUUCCGUGCCAGCAGCCGCGGUAAUACGGGAGUGGCAAGCGUUAUCCGGAAUUAUUGGGCGUAAAGCGUCCGCAGGCGGCCCUUCAAGUCUGCUGUUAAAAAGUGGAGCUUAACUCCAUCGUGGCAGUGGAAACUGUUGGGCUUGAGUGUGGUAGGGGCAGAGGGAAUUCCCGGUGUAGCGGUGAAAUGCGUAGAUAUCGGGAAGAACACCAGUGGCGAAGGCGCUCUGCUGGGCCAUCACUGACGCUCAUGGACGAAAGCCAGGGGAGCGAAAGGGAUUAGAUACCCCUGUAGUCCUGGCCGUAAACGAUGAACACUAGGUGUCGGGGGAAUCGACCCCCUCGGUGUCGUAGCCAACGCGUUAAGUGUUCCGCCUGGGGAGUACGCACGCAAGUGUGAAACUCAAAGGAAUUGACGGGGGCCCGCACAAGCGGUGGUAGUAUGUGGUUUAAUUCGAUGCAACGCGAAAACCUUACCAGGGUUUGACAUCCUGCGAAUCUCUUGUAAACAGGAGAGUGCUUUCGGGAACGCAGUGACAGGUGGUGCAUGGCUGUCGUCGCUCGUGUCCGGGAUGUUGGGUUAAGUCCCGCAACGAGGCGCAACCAAGUCUUUAGUUGCAGCAUUAAGUUGGGCACUCUAGAAAGACUUGCCCGGGGAAAACCCGAGGAAGGUGUGGAUGAAGGUCAAGGUCUUCAUGCCCUUUACUUCUGGGCUACCACCGUUCUACA